This 440-nucleotide ribosomal RNA is filed under the name uncultured bacterium. RNAcentral describes it as "bacterial SSU rRNA". It matches the Rfam family "Bacterial small subunit ribosomal RNA", at positions 338 to 770 of the family's 1533-position model. The record is from RNAcentral.
CCUACGGGAGGCAGCAGUGGGGAAUAUUGGACAAUGGGCGAAAGCCUGAUCCAGCGACGCCGCGUGUGUGAAGAAGGCCUGCGGGUUGUAAAGCACUUUUAGUGGGGAUGAAAAGCUCGGCGAUAACACCGCCGGGUCUUGACCUAACCCACAGAAAAAGCACCGGCUAACUCUGUGCCAGCAGCCGCGGUAAUACAGAGGGUGCGAGCGUUAAUCGGAAUUACUGGGCGUAAAGCGCGCGUAGGCGGUUUUGUAAGUCGGGUGUGAAAGCCCCGGGCUCAACCUGGGAACUGCAUUCGAGACUGCAUUACUGGAGUAUGGGAGAGGGCAGUGGAAUUUCCGGUGUAGCGGUGAAAUGCGUAGAUAUCGGAAGGAACAUCAGUGGCGAAAGCGACUGCCUGGCCCAAUACUGACGCUCAUGUGCGAAAGCGUGGGGAGCA